CGAAAACCGUUCCCAGUACCACCGUCUCAGCAUAUACGGAGAUUCCGACGAACCCCACCACUUGUCGGAAUGCGAAAACUGUGGCUUCAUUACCCCGGUGUUUGAUUAAGGACAUCGCAGUUCCUCGAAAAAAAAAAAA
Cryptotermes secundus is the source of this 139-nucleotide long non-coding RNA. RefSeq lists it as uncharacterized. The record is from RefSeq and is a predicted model, not a curated record. NCBI's taxonomy places the organism in Eukaryota, Metazoa, Arthropoda, Insecta, Blattodea, Kalotermitidae. The transcript has 2 exons.